Long non-coding RNA from Phacochoerus africanus (Common warthog), 494 nucleotides. RefSeq lists it as uncharacterized. The record is from RefSeq and is a predicted model, not a curated record. Lineage: Eukaryota; Metazoa; Chordata; Mammalia; Artiodactyla; Suidae. The transcript is spliced from 3 exons.
CUGCGGGUAGGAGCGGGUGACAGUCUUGCAGGGCGGGAAGGCAGUCGGUUUCUGAGUCAUUCUGUCACUUGAGUUCAGGUAUCCUCCAGCCUCCGUCCUGCAGCCGGGAAUGUGAACUGAAAGGGGUACUGUGUCCUCUCUUAAAGUUUAGUUGGUGCACAGGUGAAUACCACGCAGACGAGGACAUUCACUGGGCUGUUGCAGCCCUGCAGAGGUGCUCACAGGCCUGCCUUGUGACUUGACAACUUGUUUGAACAUGCCAGGCCCACCGGCUCUCAGGUCUUUCUCCUUUGAGAUGUCAGAGCAACACACUGUGCCCCAGCAGAGCUGGGGAGUUCAGCCAGCUGUUUCCUUCCACUGUCCUCAUGGCAUGUCAGAUUAGUUACUUCCAAUGGAGAGUUAAGUGCAAGUUCCUCAGCUGCUAAGUGAAGUCAGCCAUAUAAUGAGACACCAACAUCAAAUGCUUUCACUGACAAUUUGGAAUCUGAAAAAAG